AACGAGCUAUCUGAACCUUCGGGGAACGAUAACGGCGUCGAGCGGCGGACGGGUGAGUAAUGCCUAGGAAAUUGCCCUGAUGUGGGGGAUAACCAUUGGAAACGAUGGCUAAUACCGCAUGAUGCCUACGGGCCAAAGAGGGGGACCUUCGGGCCUCUCGCGUCAGGAUAUGCCUAGGCGGGAUUAUCUAGCUGGUGAGGUAAGGGCUCAGCAAGGCGACGAUCCCUAGCUGGUCGGAGAGGAUGAUCAGGCACACUGGAUCUGAGACACGGUCCAGACUCCUACGGGAGGCAGCAGUGGGGAAUAUUGCACAAUGGGCGCAAGCCUGAUGCAGCCAUGCCGCGCGUCUGAAGAAGCCCUUCGGGUUGUAAAGCACUUUCAGUCGUGAGGAAGGUAGUGUAGUUAAUAGCUGCAUCAUUUGACGUUAGCGACAGAAGAAGCACCGGCUAACUCCGUGCCAGCAGCCGCGGUAAUACGGAGGGUGCGAGCGUUAAUCGGAAUUACUGGGCGUAAAGCGCAUGCAGGUGGUUUGUUAAGUCAGAUGUGAAAGCCCGGGGCUCAACCUCGGAAUAGCAUUUGAAACUGGCAGACUAGAGUACUGUAGAGGGGGGUAGAAUUUCAGGUGUAGCGGUGAAAUGCGUAGAGAUCUGAAGGAAUACCGGUGGCGAAGGCGGCCCCCUGGACAGAUACUGACACUCAGAUGCGAAAGCGUGGGGAGCAAACAGGAUUAGAUACCCUGGUAGUCCACGCCGUAAACGAUGUCUACUUUGAGGUUGUGGCCUUGAGCCGUGGCUUUCGGAGCUAACGCGUUAAGUAGACCG
This 821-nucleotide ribosomal RNA is filed under the name Vibrio alginolyticus. Its description in RNAcentral is "bacterial SSU rRNA". It matches the Rfam family "Bacterial small subunit ribosomal RNA", at positions 65 to 871 of the family's 1533-position model. Lineage: Bacteria; Pseudomonadati; Pseudomonadota; Gammaproteobacteria; Vibrionales; Vibrionaceae. The record is from RNAcentral.